Molecule: non-coding RNA, 457 nt
Organism: Epinephelus lanceolatus (giant grouper)
Lineage: Eukaryota; Metazoa; Chordata; Actinopteri; Perciformes; Serranidae
Source: the annotation of a RefSeq genome assembly
CCCUGCUCACCUCUCAGCUGGACAGUAAGGGACGUUUACACCACACACUGACAACAUGCUGGGGACCCUCUGCACUCUCAUCACUGCUCUAACAUGUGUGAGUGGUGUGACGGUGGUGACACAGAAGCCUCCUGUUGUGACGCUGAGGAAAGGAGAGUCAGCCAACUUAGAGUGUAAUGCUCCUUUAGAUGGUGCUCGCUGGUAUAAACAGAUUCCAGGAGGAGUCCCUCAGUUUGUCCUGGUGUUUGAUCGUAGUUGGAGCUCUCCAAAGUAUGGCUCUGGUUUCUCCUCUCCCAAGUUCACAUCUACUAGUCAGUCAACAUCAAAUUAUCGUUUGAUUAUCAGAAAUGUGGAGGAGGGAGACUCAGCAGUCUAUUACUGUCACCGAUGGGAUGACUCUGCUAAGGAGGAUGUAUUCGGACAAGGCACCAAGCUGAUUGUGACAACUGGACAGUAA